Molecule: ribosomal RNA, 396 nt
Filed under: uncultured bacterium
Lineage: Bacteria
Description: partial 16S ribosomal RNA
Rfam family: Bacterial small subunit ribosomal RNA
Source: RNAcentral
AUACGUAGGGAGUGAGCGUUGUCCGGAAUUACUGGGUGUAAAGGGUGCGUAGGCGGGACUGCAAGUCAGAUGUGAAAUGCCGGGGCUCAACCCCGGAGCUGCAUUUGAAACUGUGGUUCUUGAGUGAGGUAGAGGUAAGCGGAAUUCCUAGUGUAGCGGUGAAAUGCGUAGAUAUUAGGAGGAACAUCGGUGGCGAAGGCGGCUUACUGGGCCUUUACUGACGCUGAGGCACGAAAGCGUGGGGAGCAAACAGGAUUAGAUACCCUGGUAGUCCACGCUGUAAACGAUGAUGACUAGGUGUGGGGGGACUGAACCCUUCCGUGCCGCAGUUAACACAAUAAGUAUUCCGCCUGGGGAGUACGGCCGCAAGGUUGAAACUCAAAUGAAUUGGCGGGG